RNA transcript from Dromaius novaehollandiae (emu), 2969 nucleotides. RefSeq lists it as uncharacterized. The transcript is spliced from 5 exons. Lineage: Eukaryota; Metazoa; Chordata; Aves; Casuariiformes; Dromaiidae. The record is from RefSeq and is a predicted model, not a curated record.
ACACACACACACACACACACACACACACACACACGCCUAGUGGAAUGCAUCUAGGCAACACGCCGAUUCGGACCUGGUCUAAUAUCGAGGUGAAACUUAACGUGCCCCUUAUGUACAUACGUAUAAUUUGAUGUGAACAUCCCUCGAGUUUCUUUGUGGUUCGGGGCCGAAUCGUGACCGCAAGCAACCGGAACUCACAAUGCUAAAAAAGAUGGGAAGUGUAGUAGGGGUGACUCGCCACCCGUGCUAAAUUGAAGCGAUGGUUUCGUUCAUCAGCGGCGGCAGGAAUAGUUAUUUGCCUGUAAAUCUACGUUCGGCUACAUCGAUCUCGGAAACACGUUUAUAAGACUAUAAAUUAUCGUUUCUUUCCUUCGGGGAGAGGGUAGGAAAGGAAGAAAAGACAGCGAGAAAGAGAAAAGUGGGUUUUUUUCGGAAAUAGGAGGUCCAUGUUAUUUAGCUGCUGCUCACCCCUAUUAAAGACUCCUUCCCAAAAGCUUGCGUAACAUUGAUUACUCACAGAGUUCACAGUAACUAUCAUGUAGCUAAAGUAAUUGAGACAAUCACGCUAAGUUAUAGUCGGUCUAAAAGGUACCAUUGAUGUGGUAAUGCCCAUAGAAAGUCAGACAUGCGACUCACUACCAUUUAAUUGCUCCUUUAAACCUGUUAUUACAAUGUUAACUGGCUUAAGUAUAUAUUGCUGCCUUUUAUUGCCUUGAUGUGACAAAUUAAAACAUACAUUCUGGAAGCGGCAUUCAUUUGCGGACGGAGUUGCAGGAAAAAAAGGAGCCGGGAGAUGUCAAACCUGUCAGGAUGAAUUAAUUCUAAAACUUGCAUUUUUGCACUGUAAUUCUCACUGCAGUCUUGUUGCACGAGGAAACAGGAUACACACAACAGAGGCAUAUAUAUUAUAUUAUAUGCGUAUUCCGUCUCGCGCAGACCUGCCGUAAAACGAGCUUCGGGCUCUGGCGGAUUUGGGGAUCGCUGAAGCGAGCCAGGCCACAUCGCCGCCGCUCCGCGGAGAGGAGCGCGCUCUGCGGCCCUCCGCCGCCCCCCGCGCAGCCUACGAGGGCCAGGCCGGCGGCCCCGAGGGGCUCCCAGGCUUUUCUUAAGAGGCCGAGCAACGACAGCAUCCACACGGCCACUGCAGGGACGCCGCUUUUUUUUUUUUCCGCCCAGAUAUUCGGUAUUUUGAAAUCGCACGUCACGGAUGACACAAGCCCGGAUGGAGCAGAAGUGACUGUCGCUGCCGGCCUGAACUGCCGCAUGUCCGAGGAAAGCCGGGCCCGGGUGACCGCCCCCCUCUUCCUUUCCUUUGAGUCUCCAAAUCCCCAAAGGAGCAAAGUUAACGGCGCGUUUUGGAAGCUGCACGGUGCCUCCCCUAGAAGUAGAGCGGCCGGAUCCCUCCGUCUCUUACUUUUGCUGAGGGAAAAUGCAGCCGGCUCGGCAGGAAUUGGGUGUGAAAUAGUGACAGUCGCCUGCGACUCACGGCUGGGAGCGGGGAACAGCGGGGAGGCACGGGACCAGACUGCAGGUGCGCGACUGCCACCUCGGCCAGGGUGCUUGCAAGUAAACCGCUCCUCCAGGAUACAGAGCCUUCCUCCACAUAGCUCCCUGCAGUUUUUUUCUUUUUUUCUUUUUUUUUUACCUGCUUACGUACAUGUGCCCUCCCGAGCGCACUUUCCUUCUGAAGUUUUAAUAAAGAUUCUGCUUCAAAGUCAGUAAUCGGGAAUUAGUUGCAUAGAUGCAUUUGAAUAUUCACCGUGGAUUCCUUUGUUUCUUAACUUUUUUGCGUCUUUUUUUUCUUUAGAAGCCAGGAACAUAUCCGAGUUAUUAGUUACCGGAUUAAAAACAGAGGGGUGAAUUUUAUAUUACUUAAUGUACAGCAUUACUACUGUAACUAUAAAUGUUAACUUUUCCACUGUUCCUCUACUGCUACAGUGAAAAGGCUCUAUUCGAUUAACUCGGCCGUGAGAAGCUUGCCCGAGCACCGGGGAAGUGCCUGAAUGCAGAAGGCGACCAAAGGAACUAUAUGUAAAUCCCGUGUGUGUCUCUCUCCCUCUCUCUUUAUUUCUUUUCCCCAAAGUUAAUAAGUAAUAAAUUCCUUCCAGUAUUGCUUACUCUCCUGCUACGGUUUCUCAACGGUGCGUUGAGCCUUAACUUCGCUUAAGUGAGAUGUAACAUGCGACGGGCGCAGAAACUUCCAGAGGCGGCAGGGCUUUUUCCCGGCUUGUUUGGCUCGGAGGGGCCGCGACGAGGCGAUCAGUGCGGUGCCGGGCGGCGGCCCGGGCUGCCGCCGCAGCGCCGCGCCGGGGCCCCCGCCUCCGCCUCCCGGCAGCACUCUGACCGCUCCCGAGCCGGGUGGGUCCUCCAGGUAGGGCGGAAUUAGACGGUGCACUUUGCAAUUUGUUUCCUCGCCUAAAAAUUAUCCUUCCCCCGAAAGCCUCAAGACCUCCUCCAAGCGUGAGCCUUUGGAAAGCCUGACCUCAUUAUUAUGAUGAUGAUUAUUAUUAUUUCUGCAGUCGCUCUCUUUUUUAGGGACGGGCCUGUUUCCCCUCAAGCCACGACCUUGUGUGUCCAGGAGCGGUUCCCACGUCUGUCUGUCUGUCCGCUGCUGGCCUGCGCUGUGUUAUACCUCUGUCCCCCUCCCUUCCCCCAGUCUCCACUCAAACAAAGGGAGCGAGGAAAAGCGCAGCCCAGGAAGUGCAAAGUGGAAAGCGACCCUCUUCCUAUUUGACGACAGCGCUAAUUCCUCGGGGAUCCCACCUGAGGUUAAAGCUUGAAUUUCAAUAAAUCAUCUCUAAUGAAAACCCUCCCCUCUUCAGGGCCAGAGGUUGUCAUCCUCGCGCCGAAACGAGCACAGAAACAGGAGGGAGGGGGCGAAGGGAGUAAAUAUAAAAAGGGGUGUGAGAUUUUAAUCCCAGCGGGCUGAUUAGCAUCGUUACGAAAUAAACUGUACACAAAGUGCUGAA